This 243-nucleotide ribosomal RNA is filed under the name Aeromonas dhakensis. RNAcentral's name for it is "partial 23S ribosomal RNA". It matches the Rfam family "Bacterial large subunit ribosomal RNA", at positions 995 to 1239 of the family's 2925-position model. The record is from RNAcentral. Lineage: Bacteria; Pseudomonadati; Pseudomonadota; Gammaproteobacteria; Aeromonadales; Aeromonadaceae.
GUGCUAACGUCCGUCGUGAAGAGGGAAACAACCCAGACCGCCGGCUAAGGUCCCAAAGUUCUGGUUAAGUGGGAAACGAUGUGGGAAGGCUCAGACAGCUAGGAUGUUGGCUUAGAAGCAGCCAUCAUUUAAAGAAAGCGUAAUAGCUCACUAGUCGAGUCGGCCUGCGCGGAAGAUGUAACGGGGCUCAAACCAGGCACCGAAGCCGCGGAUUCACGCUAAGCGUGAGUGGUAGGGGAGCGU